GGAACGACAUUAUUGAUUCUUCGGAGGAUUUAAUGGGCGUCGAGCGGCGGACGGGUGAGUAAUGCCUAGGAAAUUGCCUUGAUGUGGGGGAUAACCAUUGGAAACGAUGGCUAAUACCGCAUAAUGCCUACGGGCCAAAGAGGGGGACCUUCGGACCUCUCGCGUCAAGAUAUGCCUAGGUGGGAUUAGCUAGUUGGUGAGGUAAUGGCUCACCAAGGCGACGAUCCCUAGCUGGUCUGAGAGGAUGAUCAGCCACACUGGAACUGAGACACGGUCCAGACUCCUACGGGAGGCAGCAGUGGGGAAUAUUGCACAAUGGGCGAAAGCCUGAUGCAGCCAUGCCGCGUGUAUGAAGAAGGCCUUCGGGUUGUAAAGUACUUUCAGUUGUGAGGAAGGGGGUGUUGUUAAUAGCGUUAUCUCUUGACGUUAGCAACAGAAGAAGCACCGGCUAACUCCGUGCCAGCAGCCGCGGUAAUACGGAGGGUGCGAGCGUUAAUCGGAAUUACUGGGCGUAAAGCGCAUGCAGGUGGUUCAUUAAGUCAGAUGUGAAAGCCCGGGGCUCAACCUCGGAACUGCAUUUGAAACUGGUGAACUAGAGUGCUGUAGAGGGGGGUAGAAUUUCAGGUGUAGCGGUGAAAUGCGUAGAGAUCUGAAGGAAUACCAGUGGCGAAGGCGGCCCCCUGGACAGACACUGACACUCAGAUGCGAAAGCGUGGGGAGCAAACAGGAUUAGAUACCCUGGUAGUCCACGCCGUAAACGAUGUCUACUUGGAGGUUGUGGCCUUGAGCCGUGGCUUUCGGAGCUAACGCGUUAAGUAGACCGCCUGGGGAGUACGGUCGCAAGAUUAAAACUCAAAUGAAUUGACGGGGGCCCGCACAAGCGGUGGAGCAUGUGGUUUAAUUCGAUGCAACGCGAAGAACCUUACCUACUCUUGACAUCCAGAGAAGCCAGUGGAGACACAGGUGUGCCUUCGGGAGCUCUGAGACAGGUGCUGCAUGGCUGUCGUCAGCUCGUGUUGUGAAAUGUUGGGUUAAGUCCCGCAACGAGCGCAACCCUUAUCCUUGUUUGCCAGCGAGUAAUGUCGGGAACUCCAGGG
RNAcentral lists this ribosomal RNA (1097 nucleotides) under marine bacterium AK3_009. RNAcentral's name for it is "bacterial SSU rRNA". It matches the Rfam family "Bacterial small subunit ribosomal RNA", at positions 68 to 1145 of the family's 1533-position model. The record is from RNAcentral.